AUUGAACGCUGGCGGCAGGCUUAACACAUGCAAGUCGAACGGCAGCAGGAGAAAGCUUGCUUUCUUGCUGACGAGUGGCGGACGGGUGAGUAAUGCUUGGGAAUCUGGCUUAUGGAGGGGGAUAACGACGGGAAACUGUCGCUAAUACCGCGUAAUAUCGAAAGAUUAAAGUGUGGGACCUUCGGGCCACAUGCCAUAGGAUGAGCCCAAGUGGGAUUAGGUAGUUGGUGGGGUAAAGGCCUACCAAGCCUGCGAUCUCUAGCUGGUCUGAGAGGAUGACCAGCCACACUGGAACUGAGACACGGUCCAGACUCCUACGGGAGGCAGCAGUGGGGAAUAUUGCGCAAUGGGGGGAACCCUGACGCAGCCAUGCCGCGUGAAUGAAGAAGGCCUUAGGGUUGUAAAGUUCUUUCGGUAUUGAGGAAGGUUGAUGUG
RNAcentral lists this ribosomal RNA (435 nucleotides) under Haemophilus influenzae. RNAcentral describes it as "bacterial SSU rRNA". It matches the Rfam family "Bacterial small subunit ribosomal RNA", at positions 30 to 459 of the family's 1533-position model. Lineage: Bacteria; Pseudomonadati; Pseudomonadota; Gammaproteobacteria; Pasteurellales; Pasteurellaceae. The record is from RNAcentral.